RNAcentral lists this long non-coding RNA (668 nucleotides) under Pongo abelii (Sumatran orangutan). Its description in RNAcentral is "lincRNA". Lineage: Eukaryota; Metazoa; Chordata; Mammalia; Primates; Hominidae. The record is from RNAcentral.
GAUUCUUGGCUCCAAGCCUGGUCCUGGCUGUUAGUUUGGAACUCACGCACCCAGAUGCUAACUCGCCCUCAGAAUGCAGAGGGGAUGAAACACUGACCGGACAAUUCAAUCUGUAUAUGGGUGAGUCCAGGGCUCAGUCUGCAUUGCGCGGAAAAUGAAGGUGAAGGUGGAGGUGGGACCUGAUGGUCUCGUCCCGGAUCGGGUUGAAGAAGGGGGAGAAAAGGAAUCAAAAUCGUGGGUGGGAUGAGAUUGUGCGCGAAUGCUCUCUGGGAGCGGAUCGUGGCCGACGAGGGCCCGAAGAUCCUGCCUUGUGAUCGCAGGAGAUGAACUGGAGGGGAAGACGAAUGGCAGGAGGGUGAAGAGAAAGCUGAAUUACUGUGCAAACACCCGCAACUCAAAUCCGGGUGGUUACUGCAGAGUGAAUAACGAUAGGUACUAUUUCGUGUAAGGCAAAGUCCUUUGAAAGGGCUCCUAGAGCGUCAAGGCCCCCACCUGAUGAAUGAAUGAGUCAGGCAGGCCCAGCUCCACUUCACUGAUGGGAAAACUGAGGUACGAGGAGGUGAGAUGAAUGGCUCGAGGCCUCGCUGAAAGAUUCGAGGCGGAGCGGAGAACCAGAAGCACCGCUUCUCUCAGGCUGAUGCUCUAAUCUCGGCUCCCCCCGCCCCGAC